RNAcentral lists this transfer RNA (66 nucleotides) under Urosaurus clarionensis. Its description in RNAcentral is "tRNA-Trp". The record is from RNAcentral. Lineage: Eukaryota; Metazoa; Chordata; Lepidosauria; Squamata; Phrynosomatidae.
AAGCUUAGGAUAAAUUUAAACCAAGGACCUUCAAAGCCCUAAAUAGGGGCCCCACCCCUAGCUUCU